RNAcentral lists this long non-coding RNA (342 nucleotides) under Sinocyclocheilus anshuiensis. Its description in RNAcentral is "lncRNA (ENSSANG00000043339.1)". Lineage: Eukaryota; Metazoa; Chordata; Actinopteri; Cypriniformes; Cyprinidae. The record is from RNAcentral.
AUCUGUCUUUGGAUAGCGAGUAUGUCGUGACUGUCAUGGCACUGCCCGUCCCUGAGCGGUGGGACCAGUUCUAUAAGAGGAAACAGUUUUUCACACGCACAUGUCCUGAAAAAAAUGGUCUUGAAGAGUGUAAGAAAGACUGGUAUCCCAGAUACGUUGAAGUCCACCAGGAGAACCGGGACGUUUAUGUGACCUUUAACCUUGCGCCUGAGAACUUCAAAGUCCAUCAGUAUUUUUCAUCAUGUUUCGGAGGUGGCCUACGUAAUUACACAAGCAUUAAACCAGUGAGUUUUUGUUAACAAUAUAUACGUUUGUACAAUAUCUGUAAUGUAGAUGUUAUUG